RNAcentral lists this transfer RNA (77 nucleotides) under Candidatus Saccharimonadota bacterium. RNAcentral describes it as "tRNA-Val". It matches the Rfam family "tRNA". From Rfam's summary of the family: Transfer RNA (tRNA) molecules are approximately 80 nucleotides in length. Lineage: Bacteria; Candidatus Saccharimonadota. The record is from RNAcentral.
GGAUCCGUAGCUCAGUUGGCUAGAGCGCUUCAUUGACGUUGAAGAGGCCAGAGGUUCAAGUCCUCUCGGAUCCACCA